UGCAGCCUUGUGGGUGGUAGCUGGUAUGUUGGUGGAAACUCCAUGCUUCCAUGGAACCAGCUGUGGAGGAGUGGUGACGCAAUGAGCAUCCUGGAAGUUUAGUUGUCAUUUGUCACCUUUUGGAUAAUGGAGUAGAUUUCUGAAGCUAUUUCUCCUUGUUUGGUGUUCUGCCUGCAAUUUGGACAAGUGGACUUCAGAUUAUGUCUUCAUAGACUGAAAGGCUUGGCAUAAGAAGCCUCUCACCCUAAACAUCACAGCUGGGAAUAUGCUGGACCACAACUAAAGCCAGCAUGGCACUGACUCUGACCAAAGGAUUAGCUUCCAGGGGUCCUAGCAAGGUGCAUCACAGUGUCAAGAAUGCACUGCAUUCAGAGAAGUUCAAACUAUGGAUUCCCACCAGAGAAGCAUGAAGUGCUCUGAAGGCUGCCAACAAAAUGUCAAGUGAGUCCACUGACAAAAAGGAAGAGAAGCCUUGGAAAAACAUUAUUGCUUAUGUUCCAUCUGAAUCUGAGCAGCUGACCUGAGGAAGGAGGUGGCUCAUCCAAGCUGAGACAUGGUGUUUCAAGAGGUGAAACCACAGGGAAAGUUUGAAAUGAAAGUCAUAUGGGAAGAAAUGGAGAGAAGCAAGUUGGAGAUCUUUCUAGAUCACCAUCCCGUACUGGUACCCACGCCUCAGUUUAUUUCUGCUGGAGAAGGUGAUGCUAGAAGCUCAGGUUCUCUGUCCUCUCUAUGAUCCUGUGAGCUGUCUAAUAUCCCUCCAUAAAAGCCUGCUGUCUUAAACUA
Molecule: long non-coding RNA, 783 nt
Organism: Gorilla gorilla gorilla (western lowland gorilla)
Lineage: Eukaryota; Metazoa; Chordata; Mammalia; Primates; Hominidae
Exons: 5
Source: RefSeq, a predicted model, not a curated record